Molecule: ribosomal RNA, 1042 nt
Filed under: Corynebacterium sp. HMSC074C01
Lineage: Bacteria; Bacillati; Actinomycetota; Actinomycetes; Mycobacteriales; Corynebacteriaceae
Description: bacterial SSU rRNA
Rfam family: Bacterial small subunit ribosomal RNA
Source: RNAcentral
GUGACGGUACCUGUAUAAGAAGCACCGGCUAACUACGUGCCAGCAGCCGCGGUAAUACGUAGGGUGCGAGCGUUGUCCGGAAUUACUGGGCGUAAAGAGCUCGUAGGUGGUUUGUCGCGUCGUCUGUGAAAUUCCGGGGCUUAACUUCGGGCGUGCAGGCGAUACGGGCAUAACUUGAGUGCUGUAGGGGAGACUGGAAUUCCUGGUGUAGCGGUGAAAUGCGCAGAUAUCAGGAGGAACACCGAUGGCGAAGGCAGGUCUCUGGGCAGUUACUGACGCUGAGGAGCGAAAGCAUGGGUAGCAAACAGGAUUAGAUACCCUGGUAGUCCAUGCCGUAAACGGUGGGCGCUAGGUGUAGGGGGCUUCCACGUCUUCUGUGCCGUAGCUAACGCAUUAAGCGCCCCGCCUGGGGAGUACGGCCGCAAGGCUAAAACUCAAAGGAAUUGACGGGGGCCCGCACAAGCGGCGGAGCAUGUGGAUUAAUUCGAUGCAACGCGAAGAACCUUACCUGGGCUUGACAUACACCAGAUUGCUGCAGAGAUGUAGUGUCCCUUGUGGUUGGUGUACAGGUGGUGCAUGGUUGUCGUCAGCUCGUGUCGUGAGAUGUUGGGUUAAGUCCCGCAACGAGCGCAACCCUUGUCUUAUGUUGCCAGCAUUUGGUUGGGGACUCAUGAGAGACUGCCGGGGUUAACUCGGAGGAAGGUGGGGAUGACGUCAAAUCAUCAUGCCCCUUAUGUCCAGGGCUUCACACAUGCUACAAUGGUCGGUACAACGCGCAGCGACACUGUGAGGUGGAGCGAAUCGCUGAAAGCCGGCCUUAGUUCGGAUUGGGGUCUGCAACUCGACCCCAUGAAGUCGGAGUCGCUAGUAAUCGCAGAUCAGCAAUGCUGCGGUGAAUACGUUCCCGGGCCUUGUACACACCGCCCGUCACGUCAUGAAAGUUGGUAACACCCGAAGCCAGUGGCCUAAACUUGUUAGGGAGCUGUCGAAGGUGGGAUCGGCGAUUGGGACGAAGUCGUAACAAGGUACCCGUACCGGAAGG